UGGUGUGUUGUAAUUCUCUCUAUAUUAUCGGAUUUAAUAAUAUUCAUCGUUCCUCUACUUAAUUUUUUUUCUUUAUUUUAAAUCUUAUUCUUGAUAUUUUGUGAUCUUGUUUAUUACUUCAAGUGGUGUUCAUUAAAUCUCAAUUCCUACAUUAUUGGUCAUCGGUCCCAACAUCUUGGUCUGCAAACCGUAUAAGCAAAAAGGAAGAGGUAUCUAUGUGU
RNAcentral lists this long non-coding RNA (221 nucleotides) under Olea europaea (common olive). RNAcentral's name for it is "long non-coding RNA (OEUR_LNC013464)". Lineage: Eukaryota; Viridiplantae; Streptophyta; Magnoliopsida; Lamiales; Oleaceae. The record is from RNAcentral.